RNAcentral lists this ribosomal RNA (320 nucleotides) under uncultured Veillonellaceae bacterium. RNAcentral's name for it is "bacterial SSU rRNA". It matches the Rfam family "Bacterial small subunit ribosomal RNA", at positions 28 to 339 of the family's 1533-position model. The record is from RNAcentral. Lineage: Bacteria; Bacillati; Bacillota; Negativicutes; Veillonellales; Veillonellaceae.
GAUGAACGCUAGCUACAGGCUUAACACAUGCAAGUCGAGGGGCAUCAUGACGAAAGCUUGCUUUUGUUGAUGGCGACCGGCGCACGGGUGAGUAACGCGUAGGUAAUCUGCCGCAAAGAUGGGGACAACAGUUCGAAAGGACUGCUAAUACCGAAUGUUGUAAGUAAUUCGCAUGAGUAACUUACUAAAGAUUUAUCGCUUUGCGAGGAGCCUGCGUCCGAUUAGGUAGUUGGUAAGGUAAGAGCUUACAAAGCCGACGAUCGGUAACCGGUCUGAGAGGAUGAACGGUCACAUUGGAACUGAGACACGGUCCAGACUCC